GUGCACCAGGCGCGAAAACUUCACACUGUGCGAAAGCACGAUGAGGGAAUCCCAAGUGCUUGCACGUAAGUGUAAGCUGUUUCUCUGUCUAAAACGCAGAGAGAGUAAGGGCUGGGUAAGACGGGUGCCAGCCGCCGCGGUAAUACCUGCAGCUCAAGUGGUGACCGUUAUUAUUGGGGCCUAAAACGUCCGUAGCCGGUUUAAUAAAUGCCUGGGUAAAUUGUGUAGCUUGACUAUACGAACUCCGGGUAGACUGUUAAACUUGAGACCGGGAGAAGUUAGAGGUACUCCUGGGGUAGAGGUGAAAUUCUGUAAUCCUAGGGGGACCACCAGUGGCGAAGGCGUCUAACUAGAACGGGUCUGACGGUGAGGGACGAAGCCCUGGGGCGCAAACGGGGAUUA
This 402-nucleotide ribosomal RNA is filed under the name uncultured microorganism. RNAcentral describes it as "bacterial SSU rRNA". It matches the Rfam family "Archaeal small subunit ribosomal RNA", at positions 330 to 731 of the family's 1478-position model. The record is from RNAcentral.